This 230-nucleotide unclassified non-coding RNA is filed under the name uncultured fungus. RNAcentral describes it as "sequence contains ITS1". Lineage: Eukaryota; Fungi. The record is from RNAcentral.
GUAUUUAUUUGCUUAUUAUGCAAGGUUACAUUCUGAACUGAAGCGUUUGUUUUAAUACAUAGGCGAGGCAUUCAAAGCCGACCGAAGUCAGCCUAUCCCACCAAGCCUACAAAAAGUGCACAGGGGUUUGAGAGUGGAUGAGCAAGGCGUGCACGUACCUCCUUACGAAGGACAGCUACAACCCGUUUCAAAACUCGAUAAUGAUCCUUCCGCAGGUUCACCUACGGAAA